This 255-nucleotide ribosomal RNA is filed under the name uncultured bacterium. Its description in RNAcentral is "partial 16S ribosomal RNA". It matches the Rfam family "Bacterial small subunit ribosomal RNA", at positions 524 to 776 of the family's 1533-position model. The record is from RNAcentral.
UACGAAGGGGGGCUAGCGUUGCUCGGAAUUACUGGGCGUAAAGCGCGCGCAGGCGGCUAUCCAAGUCAGUGGUGAAAGCCCGGAGCUCAACUCCGGAGCUGCCAUUGAAACUGUUUAGCUUGAGUAUGAGAGAGGUGAGUGGAAUUCCCAGUGUAGAGGUGAAAUUCGUAGAUAUUGGGAAGAACACCGGUGGCGAAGGCGGCUCACUGGCUCAUUACUGACGCUCCAGGCGCGACAGCGUGGGGAGUCAAACAG